RNAcentral lists this non-coding RNA (340 nucleotides) under Anaerocolumna jejuensis. Its description in RNAcentral is "T-box sequence". It matches the Rfam family "T-box leader". From Rfam's summary of the family: Uncharged tRNA acts as the effector for transcription antitermination of genes in the T-box leader family. The record is from RNAcentral. Lineage: Bacteria; Bacillati; Bacillota; Clostridia; Lachnospirales; Lachnospiraceae.
CCAAAUGCAGUGACAAGGAGGAGUACAUACUCACCGGGAUUUCAGAGAGAAGAUGUUUGGUGGAAGUCUUCAUUCAGGAAGUAUGGAAGUAGCCUUUGAGCAGUGAACCCAACGGGAAGAGCCUGUUUUAACGGAGAAGGGAUUUUAGCCCAGUCCGGACACCGGUAGGAAGAAUAGGUGUUCAGGUGAUUCUUCAGUAGACUUCAACGGAAGUUUCCGCCGUUACACGGAAAACGGUAUCGACAUUUCUGCAUAAAUAUGACAGGGGUCCGUAGCGGAGUGAGUGCAGAGAUUUUUCUCUGAAUUUAGGUGGUAACACGGAUAAUUAUCCGCCCUAAGC